AAAUGAACUAAACCUUAGUUCAAAAGCUUAGGUAUGCUUAAUGCAGACAACACAGUAGGUCCAGGUGGCAUGACUCCAGAGCCCACAUACAAUGAAGGACCUUGAAUCUAUCACCUCUCAAUCAAGAGUGGCAGCUGGUGAUAUAAAACUGGAGGUCAGGAAAGAAGUUAGAACUCUCUAAACAGACUUGGGAAUUAGCUGCGGAGAUGACAAGUGGAUCCAAGGUUGCUGAUGAGCUCCGGGAAUGAGAAGUAAAGAAGAAAAGAGGACCAAGGGCAAACCGUGAAAAAAUGCUAGUCAUAUUUUAAUAACUUAUGCAGUUGGUUUUGUAAUUUUAUAGAGAAAAGAGGCCAGGGUUGGUACAAGUUAAGGCCCGCCAGCCCUGACUGAUGCAGGCACCCAUCUUGAAAACAUGACAGUUCUCUAUAAGCUUGGAGUAAACCAUAUCAUUUCUGUCGUCGCUCUAACUCUGCAGGCUUCUCUCUAACUUCAUUGAAUCCCAGGAAUCAUCUACAUAGAUUUGGGAAUUCUCCUGGAGCUUUAAUUCUCUUGAUUGAUGGGUGGGUGAAAACCUACCUUACUCACUACAUCUAGUUGUUCCAUGUCCUACUCGUCUACAUAAAUAGAUUUAUUGCCACCUGGCCUGCCUCAUUUUCCUCUUUUUUUUCCCCCUAGAGGGAGCUUGUUGGUUCAGCUGACAGACGGCUGAACGUGGAAUCUGGAACACUUGGGUUCAAAUCUAACCUUAGACAUUUGCUAGCUCUACAACCCUAGAC
This 776-nucleotide long non-coding RNA is filed under the name Monodelphis domestica (gray short-tailed opossum). RNAcentral describes it as "lncRNA (ENSMODG00000036069.2)". Lineage: Eukaryota; Metazoa; Chordata; Mammalia; Didelphimorphia; Didelphidae. The record is from RNAcentral.